RNAcentral lists this ribosomal RNA (779 nucleotides) under Salmonella enterica. Its description in RNAcentral is "partial 23S ribosomal RNA". It matches the Rfam family "Bacterial large subunit ribosomal RNA", at positions 2164 to 2925 of the family's 2925-position model. The record is from RNAcentral. Lineage: Bacteria; Pseudomonadati; Pseudomonadota; Gammaproteobacteria; Enterobacterales; Enterobacteriaceae.
GUGGACGCCAGUCUGCGUGGAGCCGACCUUGAAAUACCACCCUUUAAUGUUUGAUGUUCUAACGUGGACCCGUGAUCCGGGUUGCGGACAGUGUCUGGUGGGUAGUUUGACUGGGGCGGUCUCCUCCUAAAGAGUAACGGAGGAGCACGAAGGUUGGCUAAUCCUGGUCGGACAUCAGGAGGUUAGUGCAAUGGCAUAAGCCAGCUUGACUGCGAGCGUGACGGCGCGAGCAGGUGCGAAAGCAGGUCAUAGUGAUCCGGUGGUUCUGAAUGGAAGGGCCAUCGCUCAACGGAUAAAAGGUACUCCGGGGAUAACAGGCUGAUACCGCCCAAGAGUUCAUAUCGACGGCGGUGUUUGGCACCUCGAUGUCGGCUCAUCACAUCCUGGGGCUGAAGUAGGUCCCAAGGGUAUGGCUGUUCGCCAUUUAAAGUGGUACGCGAGCUGGGUUUAGAACGUCGUGAGACAGUUCGGUCCCUAUCUGCCGUGGGCGCUGGAGAACUGAGGGGGGCUGCUCCUAGUACGAGAGGACCGGAGUGGACGCAUCACUGGUGUUCGGGUUGUCAUGCCAAUGGCACUGCCCGGUAGCUAAAUGCGGAAGAGAUAAGUGCUGAAAGCAUCUAAGCACGAAACUUGCCCCGAGAUGAGUUCUCCCUGAGACUUAAAGUCUCCUGAAGGAACGUUGAAGACGACGACGUUGAUAGGCCGGGUGUGUAAGCGCAGCGAUGCGUUGAGCUAACCGGUACUAAUGAACCGUGAGGCUUAACCUUACAACGCCGAAG